RNAcentral lists this ribosomal RNA (268 nucleotides) under Hebeloma cavipes. Its description in RNAcentral is "partial large subunit ribosomal RNA". The record is from RNAcentral. Lineage: Eukaryota; Fungi; Basidiomycota; Agaricomycetes; Agaricales; Hymenogastraceae.
ACGCUUGAAGUCAGUCGCGUUGGCCGGGGAUCAACCUUGCUUUUGCUGGGCGUACUUUCCGGUUGACGGGUCAGCAUCAAUUUUGACCGUUGGAUAAAGUCCAGGGGAAUGUGGCAUCUUCGGAUGUGUUAUAGCCCUUGGUCGCAUACAACGGUUGGGAUUGAGGAACUCAGCACGCCGCAAGGCCGGGUACUUGUACCACGUUCGUGCUUAGGAUGCUGGCAUAAUGGCUUUAAUCGACCCGUCUUGAAACACGGACCAAGGAGUC